AUUGAACGCUGGCGGAAUGCUUUACACAUGCAAGUCGAGCGGCAGCGCGGGGCAACCCGGCGGCGAGCGGCGAACGGGUGAGUAAUACAUCGGAACGUGCCCAGACGUGGGGGAUAGCCCGGCGAAAGCCGGAUUAAUACCGCUGAGAUUGAGGAUGAAAGCAGGGGACCUUCGGGCCUUGCGCGUUUGGAGCGGCCGAUGGCAGAUUAGGUAGUUGGUGAGGUAAAGGCUUACCAAGCCUGCGAUCUGUAGCUGGUCUGAGAGGAUGAUCAGCCACACUGGGACUGAGACACGGCCCAGACUCCUACGGGAGGCAGCAGUGGGGAAUUUUGGACAAUGGGCGCAAGCCUGAUCCAGCCAUUCCGCGUGCAGGAUGAAGGCCCUCGGGUUGUAAACUGCUUUUGUACAGAACGAAAAAGGCCUGGCUAAUAUCUGGGUCUCAUGACGUACUUAAGAAUAAGCCCCGCA
Molecule: ribosomal RNA, 468 nt
Filed under: Lautropia sp. oral taxon A94
Lineage: Bacteria; Pseudomonadati; Pseudomonadota; Betaproteobacteria; Burkholderiales; Burkholderiaceae
Description: bacterial SSU rRNA
Rfam family: Bacterial small subunit ribosomal RNA
Source: RNAcentral